AGAGUUUGAUCCAGGCUCAGAUUGAACGCUGGCGGCAUGCCUUACACAUGCAAGUCGAACGGCAGCACGGGAGCAAUCCUGGUGGCGAGUGGCGAACGGGUGAGUAAUAUAUCGGAACGUGCCCAGUCGUGGGGGAUAACGCAGCGAAAGCUGUGCUAAUACCGCAUACGAUCUCUGGAUGAAAGCGGGGGACUCGCAAGAGCCUCGCGCGAUUGGAGCGGCCGAUAUCAGAUUAGCUAGUUGGUGGGGUAAAGGCCCACCAAGGCGACGAUCUGUAGCUGGUCUGAGAGGACGACCAGCCACACUGGAACUGAGACACGGUCCAGACUCCUAGCAGCAGUGGGGAAUUUUGGACAAUGGGCGCAAGCCUGAUCCAGCAAUGCCGCGUGCAGGAUGAAGGCCUUCGGGUUGUAAACUGCUUUUGUACGGAACGAAACGGUCUGCCCUAAUACGGUGGGCUAAUGACGGUACCGUAAGAAUAAGCACCGGCUAACUACGUGCCAGCAGCCGCGGUAAUACGUAGGGUGCGAGCGUUAAUCGGAAUUACUGGGCGUAAAGCGUGCGCAGGCGGUUAUGUAAGACAGAUGUGAAAUCCCCGGGCUCAACCUGGGACCUGCAUUUGUGACUGCAUAGCUAGAGUACGGUAGAGGGGGAUGGAAUUCCGCGUGUAGCAGUGAAAUGCGUAGAUAUCGUAAGGAAGACCAGUGGCGAAGGCGGGUCUCUGGACAGUUCCUGACACUGAGGCACGAAGGCCAGGGGAGCAAACGGGAUUAGAUACCCCGGUAGUCCUG
This 791-nucleotide ribosomal RNA is filed under the name uncultured beta proteobacterium. RNAcentral describes it as "bacterial SSU rRNA". It matches the Rfam family "Bacterial small subunit ribosomal RNA", at positions 8 to 798 of the family's 1533-position model. Lineage: Bacteria; Pseudomonadati; Pseudomonadota; Betaproteobacteria. The record is from RNAcentral.